Anoplopoma fimbria (sablefish) is the source of this 247-nucleotide long non-coding RNA. RefSeq lists it as uncharacterized. The record is from RefSeq and is a predicted model, not a curated record. NCBI's taxonomy places the organism in Eukaryota, Metazoa, Chordata, Actinopteri, Perciformes, Anoplopomatidae. The transcript is spliced from 3 exons.
UCUAAACAAUGGACAGGAACAGUGACAUUGGGAGACAUUGAUAAGAUGUUUGAUGACUUGGACCCUCCCUCACAUGUUAAUGAUGACCUGUUACCCCCGUCUGCUCUGCUCCAGACCUUUGAUACUGAGUCAAACCAGUGUGGGAAAGAGGCUUCACCAGUCCUAAAGGAACGACACCUAACAGAAAAACUUCCAAGAUGCCAAGUGGGUCCGAGAGUAGAUGCGUCGCAUCCUGCAAUGUCACCAA